GUGGCUGCUGUCCUGCUGGCGUUGCUGCUCCCCUCCCCUUCGCUGCUCGCCUGCCCCCUUCCUCCCAUCACGAGAUGCAGUUUGCACAAAGCCACCAUCUUAGAGCAUGCGGGCAUUAAAUGGAAGUGGAAAAUAAGCAGGUUUUUAUAGUCAAGUCGAAUAAAGUGACAUCCAUUAAAUGGAGGAUCGGAGCUGAAACGGGCUGAUGGAAUCAAACGGGUCUUUACAAUGCAUCAGCCCCAACAUCAGAUAAAAGACAGCACUUUAAUUGUUCUACAUUAUUUCAGUCUUGGCAUUUUCUAUGCAGUUAUACGGCUGUAUGUUGCGAGUCAAGUGUAUGUGUGUGUGUGUGUGUGUGUGGAAGAUGAAAGAAAUUCUUUAUACGGUUCUGAGUCAAAGUACUCAACAAAUUGUGUAUUUGUACAAAUGCGCUUGCUGGGGAUUCUCCAAGUAAAAAGGUUUUAUUCGGGUAGUUCUAUAGUGAAUUUAAUGAAGGUUUUCUAGAAAAUGUCGUUUCAAAGGCCAAUCUUUUAGGUAAUUUUUGAUAAAAAGAGUUUAACAAUCUCAGAUCUAGUUUGUCUUGGUACAAUCUUUAGCAUAAUGCACUUUAUAACACACAAACUGAUUUUUUUAGUUCAGUACUUUUCAAUAUAAAAAAAAAUGUAGUGGCUUGUGUUCAUUCCCUUAUGUACUUAUCUAAUAACUAAUUACUAAUUAAAUCUAACAUGAAUUAUUAGAAAUGGUGUGUGAGGCUCUGUAGAUUCUGCAUGUAUGAUUGUGAGACCCACUGCAGCGGUGAACGAUACUGCACUCUGAUUGGACAGCUCAGUGUGUUGUGCAUCACACACUUAUUGGACAGAGAGCUGUUGUCUUUAAUUUCUAUGCAAUUGUGUUGGGCCUGUAAUCACCUGAAAGAGAAGGCAGAUCAGAGCAGCAAUUUAUGACAGCAGGUUAAACUUGUUUUAAGGUGAAAGGAAUAUUUAGCAGAAUAUAUAUGAAUAUUUUAUUUCUGCUAAAAAUGGUUUCAACAGCAAACUGUGAAGUCAUUGAAUACUGAGAAGCAGCUUCAUCUAGCUUUUGUUGUUUCAUUU
Molecule: long non-coding RNA, 1091 nt
Organism: Carassius carassius (crucian carp)
Lineage: Eukaryota; Metazoa; Chordata; Actinopteri; Cypriniformes; Cyprinidae
Exons: 2
Source: RefSeq, a predicted model, not a curated record